GUGGGGAAUAUUGGACAAUGGGCGCAAGCCUGAUCCAGCCAUGCCGCGUGAGUGAUGAAGGCCUUAGGGUUGUAAAGCUCUUUCAGUGGGGACGAUAAUGACGGUACCCACAGAAGAAGCCCCGGCUAACUUCGUGCCAGCAGCCGCGGUAAUACGAAGGGGGCUAGCGUUGUUCGGAUUUACUGGGCGUAAAGCGCACGUAGGCGGAUCGUUAAGUCGGGGGUGAAAUCCUGGAGCUCAACUCCAGAACUGCCUUCGAUACUGGCGAUCUUGAGUCCGGGAGGGGUGGGUGGAACUCCUAGUGUAGAGGUGGAAUUCGUAGAUAUUAGGAAGAACACCCGUGGCGAAGGCGGCUCACUGGUCCGGUACUGACGCUGAGGUGCGAAAGCGUGGGGAGCAAACAGGAUUAGAAACCCUGGUAGUCC
Molecule: ribosomal RNA, 425 nt
Filed under: uncultured bacterium
Lineage: Bacteria
Description: bacterial SSU rRNA
Rfam family: Bacterial small subunit ribosomal RNA
Source: RNAcentral